This 253-nucleotide ribosomal RNA is filed under the name uncultured Blautia sp. Its description in RNAcentral is "partial 16S ribosomal RNA". It matches the Rfam family "Bacterial small subunit ribosomal RNA", at positions 524 to 776 of the family's 1533-position model. Lineage: Bacteria; Bacillati; Bacillota; Clostridia; Lachnospirales; Lachnospiraceae. The record is from RNAcentral.
UACGUAGGGGGCAAGCGUUAUCCGGAUUUACUGGGUGUAAAGGGAGCGUAGACGGAUGUGCAAGUCUGAUGUGAAAGGCGGGGGCUCAACCCCUGGACUGCAUUGGAAACUGUAAAUCUUGAGUGCCGGAGAGGUAAGCGGAAUUCCUAGUGUAGCGGUGAAAUGCGUAGAUAUUAGGAGGAACACCAGUGGCGAAGGCGGCCUGCUGGGCUUUUACUGACGCUGAGGCUCGAAAGUGUGGGGAGCAAACAGG